UGUGCCUGCUUCCUCUCUUACACAACAGGAAUAAAGCUGAGCCAGGGAGGACACACCUGUAACCCCAGCACUUGGGAGGCUGAGGCAGGAGGAU
RNAcentral lists this microRNA precursor (94 nucleotides) under Dipodomys ordii (Ord's kangaroo rat). Its description in RNAcentral is "miRNA (ENSDORG00000020376.2)". The record is from RNAcentral. Lineage: Eukaryota; Metazoa; Chordata; Mammalia; Rodentia; Heteromyidae.